RNAcentral lists this non-coding RNA (31 nucleotides) under Homo sapiens (human). Lineage: Eukaryota; Metazoa; Chordata; Mammalia; Primates; Hominidae. The record is from RNAcentral.
UGGAUUCCUAGGACUACAAGUGGUGGAAGGC